RNAcentral lists this ribosomal RNA (41 nucleotides) under Erica platycodon subsp. maderincola. RNAcentral's name for it is "partial 28S ribosomal RNA". Lineage: Eukaryota; Viridiplantae; Streptophyta; Magnoliopsida; Ericales; Ericaceae. The record is from RNAcentral. RNAcentral also lists the same sequence under 1 other name.
AACUGCGACCCCAGGUCAGGCGGGAUUACCCGCUGAGUUUA